UGAUGACGACACACACCCUCUGCAAAAUGGCGGCUCGCAGCCUGACCGUCACAGACUUCAGAGAAGGUCUUUAUGGCUCCAGGAGGACUUUAAUCCAGGCGUUGCCUAAUGUUCUACACAUCAGAGGAGCCUUCACUCUACAAGGACGUGUGAGGGCAGCCUCGCUGGACAAAGGCCGGAAGUGGAAGCUGCAGAAGAAGGAACUUUAA
This 209-nucleotide long non-coding RNA is filed under the name Gouania willdenowi (blunt-snouted clingfish). RNAcentral describes it as "lncRNA (ENSGWIG00000010665.1)". The record is from RNAcentral. Lineage: Eukaryota; Metazoa; Chordata; Actinopteri; Blenniiformes; Gobiesocidae.